UAUCAAUAUAUUUAUUUAUUUUGUAAUUAUUAUAGUGGCUUGGCAAUGAGCACUAGAGAUAUAAUCAGCGACUAAUUGAAUUUAUUCGGUACCAUCGGCCACAUGCGUUACAU
Molecule: long non-coding RNA, 113 nt
Organism: Aricia agestis (brown argus)
Lineage: Eukaryota; Metazoa; Arthropoda; Insecta; Lepidoptera; Lycaenidae
Exons: 3
Source: RefSeq, a predicted model, not a curated record